RNAcentral lists this ribosomal RNA (625 nucleotides) under Pedobacter sp. Ri2Pt_4105. Its description in RNAcentral is "bacterial SSU rRNA". It matches the Rfam family "Bacterial small subunit ribosomal RNA", at positions 382 to 1007 of the family's 1533-position model. The record is from RNAcentral. Lineage: Bacteria; Pseudomonadati; Bacteroidota; Sphingobacteriia; Sphingobacteriales; Sphingobacteriaceae.
UCUGACCAGCCAUGCCGCGUGCAGGAAGACUUGCCCUCUGGGUUGUAAACUGCUUUUAUCCGGGAAUAAACCUCUUUACGUGUAAAGAGCUGAAUGUACCGGAAGAAUAAGGAUCGGCUAACUCCGUGCCAGCAGCCGCGGUAAUACGGAGGAUCCAAGCGUUAUCCGGAUUUAUUGGGUUUAAAGGGUGCGUAGGCGGCCUGUUAAGUCAGGGGUGAAAGACGGUAGCUCAACUAUCGCAGUGCCCUUGAUACUGAUGGGCUUGAAUGGACUAGAGGUAGGCGGAAUGAGACAAGUAGCGGUGAAAUGCAUAGAUAUGUCUCAGAACACCGAUUGCGAAGGCAGCUUACUAUGGUCUUAUUGACGCUGAGGCACGAAAGCGUGGGGAUCAAACAGGAUUAGAUACCCUGGUAGUCCACGCCCUAAACGAUGAACACUCGCUGUUGGCGAUACACAGUCAGCGGCUAAGCGAAAGCGUUAAGUGUUCCACCUGGGGAGUACGGUCGCAAGAUUGAAACUCAAAGGAAUUGACGGGGGCCCGCACAAGCGGAGGAGCACGUGGUUUAAUUCGAUGAUACGCGAGGAAACUUACCCGGGCUUGAAAGUUAGUGAAUGGUUUAGAGAU